CCUACGGGAGGCAGCAGUGGGGAAUAUUGGGCAAUGGGCGCAAGCCUGACCCAGCAACGCCGCGUGAAGGAAGAAGGCUUUCGGGUUGUAAACUUCUGUUGAGAGGGAAGAGCAGAAGACGGUACCUCUUGAAUAAGCUACGGCUAACUACGUGCCAGCAGCCGCGGUAAUACGUAGGUGGCAGGCGUUGUCCGGAUUUACUGGGUGUAAAGGGCGUGUAGCCGGGCUGAUAAGGCAGAUGUGAGAUUCCGGGGCUCAACCCCGGACCUGCAUUUGAAACUGUGGGUCUUGAGUAUAGGAGAGGAAGGUGGAAUCCCUGGUGUAGCGGUGAAAUGCGUAGAUAUUAGGAGGAACACCAGUGGCGAAGGCGGCCUUCUGGACGACAACUGACGGGGAGGCGCGAAAGCGUGGGGAGCAAACAGGAGUAGAUACCCCAGUAGUC
Molecule: ribosomal RNA, 442 nt
Filed under: uncultured bacterium
Lineage: Bacteria
Description: partial 16S ribosomal RNA
Rfam family: Bacterial small subunit ribosomal RNA
Source: RNAcentral